Molecule: ribosomal RNA, 1381 nt
Filed under: Salmonella enterica subsp. enterica serovar Bredeney
Lineage: Bacteria; Pseudomonadati; Pseudomonadota; Gammaproteobacteria; Enterobacterales; Enterobacteriaceae
Description: partial 23S ribosomal RNA
Rfam family: Bacterial large subunit ribosomal RNA
Source: RNAcentral
GACGAGGCACUACGGUGCUGAAGCAACAAAUGCCCUGCUUCCAGGAAAAGCCUCUAAGCAUCAGGUAACAUCAAAUCGUACCCCAAACCGACACAGGUGGUCAGGUAGAGAAUACCAAGGCGCUUGAGAGAACUCGGGUGAAGGAACUAGGCAAAAUGGUGCCGUAACUUCGGGAGAAGGCACGCUGACACGUAGGUGAAGUGAUUUACUCAUGGAGCUGAAGUCAGUCGAAGAUACCAGCUGGCUGCAACUGUUUAUUAAAAACACAGCACUGUGCAAACACGAAAGUGGACGUAUACGGUGUGACGCCUGCCCGGUGCCGGAAGGUUAAUUGAUGGGGUCAGCGCAAGCGAAGCUCCUGAUCGAAGCCCCGGUAAACGGCGGCCGUAACUAUAACGGUCCUAAGGUAGCGAAAUUCCUUGUCGGGUAAGUUCCGACCUGCACGAAUGGCGUAAUGAUGGCCAGGCUGUCUCCACCCGAGACUCAGUGAAAUUGAACUCGCUGUGAAGAUGCAGUGUACCCGCGGCAAGACGGAAAGACCCCGUGAACCUUUACUAUAGCUUGACACUGAACAUUGAGCCUUGAUGUGUAGGAUAGGUGGGAGGCUUUGAAGUGUGGACGCCAGUCUGCAUGGAGCCGACCUUGAAAUACCACCCUUUAAUGUUUGAUGUUCUAACGUGGACCCGUAAUCCGGGUUGCGGACAGUGUCUGGUGGGUAGUUUGACUGGGGCGGUCUCCUCCUAAAGAGUAACGGAGGAGCACGAAGGUUGGCUAAUCCUGGUCGGACAUCAGGAGGUUAGUGCAAUGGCAUAAGCCAGCUUGACUGCGAGCGUGACGGCGCGAGCAGGUGCGAAAGCAGGUCAUAGUGAUCCGGUGGUUCUGAAUGGAAGGGCCAUCGCUCAACGGAUAAAAGGUACUCCGGGGAUAACAGGCUGAUACCGCCCAAGAGUUCAUAUCGACGGCGGUGUUUGGCACCUCGAUGUCGGCUCAUCACAUCCUGGGGCUGAAGUAGGUCCCAAGGGUAUGGCUGUUCGCCAUUUAAAGUGGUACGCGAGCUGGGUUUAGAACGUCGUGAGACAGUUCGGUCCCUAUCUGCCGUGGGCGCUGGAGAACUGAGGGGGGCUGCUCCUAGUACGAGAGGACCGGAGUGGACGCAUCACUGGUGUUCGGGUUGUCAUGCCAAUGGCACUGCCCGGUAGCUAAAUGCGGAAGAGAUAAGUGCUGAAAGCAUCUAAGCACGAAACUUGCCCCGAGAUGAGUUCUCCCUGAGACUUUAGGUCUCCUGAAGGAACGUUGAAGACGACGACGUUGAUAGGCCGGGUGUGUAAGCGCAGCGAUGCGUUGAGCUAACCGGUACUAAUGAACCGUGAGGCUUAACCUU